GCCGCAGUGAAGCCUGAGCUCGAGUAGGGCCCAAGCAAGCCAGGAAGGAGGAGGCAGCCGCCAGAGUGUUCUCUGCAGCAGAAGACCCCUUGCUGCCCUGCUCAACCCAGACCAGCAUUUGCCAGAUUAUUGGGACUUCUGCUGAAGACUAUUUCGAAACUGACUUUUACCUAGGAAGUCUGUCUAGUUUCUUAUUCAGGACAAUUACUUCUCACCUAUGAGGACUUACUUCAAUCAAAUUGGCACUACAAGCAUUACAUCCGCUUCAAGCAGUUUGUUUUUAAGCCAAGCAGAGGCCCAUUCUGUCACAUCCGUCCCCCACCCCAAUAACCCUGUUUCAGUGGGGAAAGUGUUCUGCUGCUGGACCAAAGUGUUUGCAAAGAGUUUUAAGAAGAUCAAGUAAUUAUUUACCUUUUGCCCUCCUAACUGUGCUUUGCUGAGUGCUGUACUGUAGACCACAGGAGGACAAUGCGUAGGCAGAUCUCAAUUAAUCUGCAUGUCUGCAAACCCUCCCACCUUCCAAGGGGGUGGAGGUGGAAUUUGCAUCCCAAUGUGGGUGUUCACUGGUCAUUGAAAGACAUUUGCCUGGUCAUUUCAGACUGGUCAAGCCAGUUAUCACUUGCUUUGCUCCUACUUCUAGUAUACUACUUCUAACCAAAGAAUCCUAGAGUGAAAGGGUGUGACUCCUUAAAAACUAGCUUGCUGAGUCAGCACAGGUCUGACUGGGUUGUUCAGUUGACUGAUGAACUUGAACAUAUGCGUUUGCUGAUGCUAAUGGGCUGUUUGCUUGCAAUAGAAAGUCAGCUCCUGAAGCAAAAAAACAAAAACUAAAAACCCAAAGCAAUCAUUGGCUGAUGUAUUUUGGUUUCGGCAAUGUAUGUUAAAAAUACAAAAUACCUGAACAAAUGUAUUUUAGAUACAAAAUACUGUUUUGAAAAGUAUUUUAGAUACACAAUACAAAAGUAUUGAAAA
Hemicordylus capensis (graceful crag lizard) is the source of this 972-nucleotide long non-coding RNA. RefSeq lists it as uncharacterized. The record is from RefSeq and is a predicted model, not a curated record. NCBI's taxonomy places the organism in Eukaryota, Metazoa, Chordata, Lepidosauria, Squamata, Cordylidae. The transcript has 2 exons.